AAGGCUAUGCUUUCAGGGAUCAUUUCUCUAGUUGGUGACUGGAGAAGGGUGGUUGCACAAGCCUGGCCUUGCUAACCACGAUGAGGAGCUGUGGUGUUUCUUUCUGAGCAUGACAAUGGCUGAGAGCGCUGUUGUGUGGCAGCUGCUUUCUGCUGUGGAAGAGUGUCUUGCUCUUCCUGAGGAGAGCAGGGGAAGGAAACACAGUCUGAGUGGU
Small nucleolar RNA from Chelonoidis abingdonii (Abingdon island giant tortoise), 214 nucleotides. Its record names the gene U3. It matches the Rfam family "Small nucleolar RNA U3". From Rfam's summary of the family: Small nucleolar RNAs (snoRNAs) are involved in the processing and modification of rRNA in the nucleolus. There are two main classes of snoRNAs: the box C/D class, and the box H/ACA class. U3 snoRNA is a member of the box C/D class. NCBI's taxonomy places the organism in Eukaryota, Metazoa, Chordata, Testudines, Testudinidae. The record is from Ensembl.